This 465-nucleotide ribosomal RNA is filed under the name Vreelandella stevensii. Its description in RNAcentral is "partial 16S ribosomal RNA". It matches the Rfam family "Bacterial small subunit ribosomal RNA", at positions 338 to 795 of the family's 1533-position model. Lineage: Bacteria; Pseudomonadati; Pseudomonadota; Gammaproteobacteria; Oceanospirillales; Halomonadaceae. The record is from RNAcentral.
CCUACGGGUGGCACCAGUGGGGAAUAUUGGACAAUGGGGGCAACCCUGAUCCAGCCAUGCCGCGUGUGUGAAGAAGGCCCUCGGGUUGUAAAGCACUUUCAGUGAGGAAGAACGCCUGGUGGUUAAUACCCAUCAGGAAAGACAUCACUCACAGAAGAAGCACCGGCUAACUCCGUGCCAGCAGCCGCGGUAAUACGGAGGGUGCGAGCGUUAAUCGGAAUUACUGGGCGUAAAGCGCGCGUAGGUGGCUUGAUAAGCCGGUUGUGAAAGCCCCGGGCUCAACCUGGGAACGGCAUCCGGAACUGUCAAGCUAGAGUGCAGGAGAGGAAGGUAGAAUUCCCGGUGUAGCGGUGAAAUGCGUAGAGAUCGGGAGGAAUACCAGUGGCGAAGGCGGCCUUCUGGACUGACACUGACACUGAGGUGCGAAAGCGUGGGUAGCAAACAGGAUUAGAUACCCUUGUAGUC